GACGAACGCUGGCGGCGUGCUUAACACAUGCAAGUCGAACGGAAAGGCCCUGCUUGCAGGGUGCUCGAGUGGCGAACGGGUGAGUAACACGUGGGUGAUCUGCCCCUUACUUUGGGAUAAGCCUGGGAAACUGGGUCUAAUACUGGAUAGGACCAUGCUGUAGGUGGUGUGGUGGAAAGAUUUUUUCGGUAAGGGAUGAGCUCGCGGCCUAUCAGCUUGUUGGUGGGGUAAUGGCCUACAAAGGCGUCGACGGGUAGCCGGCCUGAGAGGGUGGACGGCCACAUUGGGACUGAGAUACGGCCAAGACUCCGACGGGAAGCAGCAGUGGGGAAUAUUGCACAAUGGGAGCAAGCCUGAGGCAGCGACGCCGGGGGGGGGAUGACGACCUUCGGGUUGUAAACGCCUUUCAGCCAUGACGAAGCCUCUUUUGGGGUGACGGUAGUGGUAGAAGAAGCACCGGCUAACUACGUG
Molecule: ribosomal RNA, 471 nt
Filed under: uncultured bacterium
Lineage: Bacteria
Description: partial 16S ribosomal RNA
Rfam family: Bacterial small subunit ribosomal RNA
Source: RNAcentral